Molecule: ribosomal RNA, 231 nt
Filed under: uncultured Staphylococcus sp.
Lineage: Bacteria; Bacillati; Bacillota; Bacilli; Caryophanales; Staphylococcaceae
Description: partial 16S ribosomal RNA
Rfam family: Bacterial small subunit ribosomal RNA
Source: RNAcentral
AGUAACACGUGGAUAACCUACCUAUAAGACUGGGAUAACUUCGGGAAACCGGAGCUAAUACCGGAUAAUAUUUUGAACCGCAUGGUUCAAAAGUGAAAGACGGUCUUGCUGUCACUUAUAGAUGGAUCCGCGCUGCAUUAGCUAGUUGGUAAGGUAACGGCUCACCAAGGCGACGAUACAUAGCCGACCUGAGAGGGUGAUCGGCCACACUGGAACUGAGACACGGUCCAG